This 525-nucleotide ribosomal RNA is filed under the name Nocardiopsis alba. RNAcentral's name for it is "bacterial SSU rRNA". It matches the Rfam family "Bacterial small subunit ribosomal RNA", at positions 94 to 619 of the family's 1533-position model. Lineage: Bacteria; Bacillati; Actinomycetota; Actinomycetes; Streptosporangiales; Nocardiopsidaceae. The record is from RNAcentral.
AGCGGCGAACGGGUGAGUAACACGUGAGCAACCUGCCCCUGACUCUGGGAUAAGCGGUGGAAACGCCGUCUAAUACCGGAUACGACCUUCCGCCUCAUGGUGGAGGGUGGAAAGUUUUUUCGGUCAGGGAUGGGCUCGCGGCCUAUCAGCUUGUUGGUGGGGUAACGGCCUACCAAGGCGAUUACGGGUAGCCGGCCUGAGAGGGCGACCGGCCACACUGGGACUGAGACACGGCCCAGACUCCUGCGGGAGGCAGCAGUGGGGAAUAUUGCGCAAUGGGCGAAAGCCUGACGCAGCGACGCCGCGUGGGGGAUGACGGCCUUCGGGUUGUAAACCUCUUUUACCACCAACGCAGGCUCCGGGUUCUCUCGGGGUUGACGGUAGGUGGGGAAUAAGGACCGGCUAACUACGUGCCAGCAGCCGCGGUAAUACGUAGGGUCCGAGCGUUGUCCGGAAUUAUUGGGCGUAAAGAGCUCGUAGGCGGCGUGUCGCGUCUGCUGUGAAAGACCGGGGCUUAACUCCGGU